This 287-nucleotide ribosomal RNA is filed under the name uncultured Planctomycetota bacterium. Its description in RNAcentral is "uncultured planctomycete partial 16S ribosomal RNA". It matches the Rfam family "Bacterial small subunit ribosomal RNA", at positions 798 to 1082 of the family's 1533-position model. The record is from RNAcentral. Lineage: Bacteria; Pseudomonadati; Planctomycetota.
UGCCGUAAACGAUGGGCACUUGGUGUCGGGGGUAUUGAGUCCCCCGGUGCCGGAGUUAACACGUUAAGUGCCCCGCCUGGGGAGUACGGUCGCAAGACUGAAACUCAAAGGAAUUGACGGGGGCCCGCACAAGCGGUGGAGCAUGUGGUUCAAUUCGACGCAACGCGAAGAACCUUACCGGGGCUCGAACGGUGACUGCAAUCCUUGGAAACAGGGAGUUCUCUUCGGAGACGGUCAUCGAGGUGCUGCAUGGCUGUCGUCAGCUCGUGUCGUGAGACGUUAAUCUC